CUAACACAUGCAAGUCGAGCGGCAGCGGGAAAGUAGCUUGCUACUUUUGCCGGCGAGCGGCGGACGGGUGAGUAAUGCCUGGGGAUCUGCCCAGUCGAGGGGGAUAACUACUGGAAACGGUAGCUAAUACCGCAUACGCCCUACGGGGGAAAGCAGGGGACCUUCGGGCCUUGCGCGAUUGGAUGAACCCAGGUGGGAUUAGCUAGUUGGUGAGGUAAUGGCUCACCAAGGCGACGAUCCCUAGCUGGUCUGAGAGGAUGAUCAGCCACACUGGAACUGAGACACGGUCCAGACUCCUACGGGAGGCAGCAGUGGGGAAUAUUGCACAAUGGGGGAAACCCUGAUGCAGCCAUGCCGCGUGUGUGAAGAAGGCCUUCGGGUUGUAAAGCACUUUCAGCGAGGAGGAAAGGUUGGUAGCUAAUAACUGCCAGCUGUGACGUUACUCGCAGAAGAAGCACCGGCUAACUCCGUG
RNAcentral lists this ribosomal RNA (472 nucleotides) under Aeromonas veronii. RNAcentral's name for it is "bacterial SSU rRNA". It matches the Rfam family "Bacterial small subunit ribosomal RNA", at positions 48 to 507 of the family's 1533-position model. Lineage: Bacteria; Pseudomonadati; Pseudomonadota; Gammaproteobacteria; Aeromonadales; Aeromonadaceae. The record is from RNAcentral.